AGAUUGAAACAAAUAAGCUUGAAAUGUUUUAAAGCUACUACACAAUGUCUUCUUCCAAUAUACUCCACUUUCAUACAUUUUGAAUGUAUGAAAUGAUUUCUCAUUAAAGUCAUGAGAAAUAGUGGGAGGUGUGAAAAUGGAUAUAAACUUGAAUAUGAUUGGUUUAUAGUUGUCUAAAGAAUAAUAGUAUUUGACUAUUAUUAAGAGUUUGCAAUUUUAAUUGUUAAAAGGACUCAAGCUCUUCAAACGUUAAAAUUCUAUGUUGUGUGACAUUCUAAAGAAUAGUCUUUGAAUGUUGGUU
This 301-nucleotide long non-coding RNA is filed under the name Malus domestica (apple). RNAcentral's name for it is "long non-coding RNA (MDOM_LNC013528)". The record is from RNAcentral. Lineage: Eukaryota; Viridiplantae; Streptophyta; Magnoliopsida; Rosales; Rosaceae.